AUUCCCCUAGGUGACUGAGCUCCUUGAGGGCUCUGGUCUCACUGGGCUUUGCAUCUCUAGGGCUUAGAGUAGGUCAGGUGCUCAACAAAUGUUUGUUGGCUAAACAGAAAGGAAGCUGCCUGGUAGGUCCCUAAGAUAAGGGAACUUGCACCUUAAGGUUAAGAAAAGGGUGGAAUAUGGAUGGCCAGAGCCAAUUCCUUCCGUCUUUCUUCUCUCCCACAGACAGACCUGAAGGACAAAAGCCGGACAAGUGCAGAUACUGCCAUAGGGGGCCUGAAGACACAGGAAGGUUUUUUUCAAUCUGGGUUCUCAAUGGGGUCUCUAAAAAGAAGUGACAUUUCUUUUUAGGCUUUAUUUUGCAUGUACUUCUUCUUCUUCUUCUUUAAGACCUGGGGUAAGCCUGGUCUACAACUUGCUUCACCCACGUCCUGAGGCAAAAAUAACUUCGAGAAUAUUCUGGGCAUAUUCACAGAAUUCAUUGACAUCUCUUUAGCUCUGCCUACAGUUAGUUCUCUUGAUUACCAGCCAGAAAUUAGUCUUUGCAGAUUGUACAGAAAUGAAGUGCCCAGUCGUAGCCUUCAGCAUUUAGAAACAAAUAUUGGCAAUUCUGCUAAGAUGUCUAUCUGGGCCAGGAUGACACAUCAGCUGGCCAAAAUGCAGGUCGCUUCUUUAGGGCUAAUUUUGGCUAACUAAAAGAGCCACAAGAUUCCUUUUUCUCUCCAAUUAUAACAGGGGCACAUGUAGAAAAUUUUGAAAAUACAAAGAAUAAAGGAGGAAAUAAAAUUCAGCUCUGAAAUUUCACUGAUGGGAUAUGGCUACUGCGAACAUUUUGGUGCAUUUUCUUUUUAUAUUUGUAUAUAUACCCAAAUACUUUCAUUUCCUAUAUGAAUAUGAAUUUAAAAACUAGAAUACUUUAUGAGUCUAAAAUCAUAUUCAUACUUUAUGUGUAGUCUCAUAAAGUUGCUUUUUCACACAAUAUUAUCUCCUGGCUGGUCUUCGCAUGCCAUUACACAUUCUUCAAAAACCAGAGCAUUCCCCUGUAUCUGCCAAGGUUUAACUUUAUGCCUCACCCCAAGUAUGGGAGGUUGGGCCCUGCUUUGCUAAACCAUGACUUGCUUUCUUAUAUUAAUAGCAUUCUGGGUUCUCUGUGGACUUCACACACUGCAGCCUGACACAGUGGUCACUGGUCUUCAUGGAACCACAGCCCAUCCAGAGGGACUGGCCUGCACAGGAGAAAGAAUUGCCAGAGUUCAGCCUCUCUCCAGCUCCUCAACAGUAAAAGCUCCAGUGGAAGCUGUAGGGAACUCUUCACUAACUCUCACUCUGUCACCCAGGUUGGAGUGUAGAGGUGUGAUCUUGGCUCACUGCAACCUUCACCUCCUGGGUUCAAGAGAUUCUCCUGCCUCAGCCUCCCAAGUAGCUGGGAUUACAGGCGCCCGCCACCAUGCCUGGCUAAUUUUUUGUAGAGACAUGGUUUCACCAUGUUGGCCAGGCUGGUCACGAACUCCUGACCUCAAGUGAUUGACCCGCCUUGGCCUCCCAAAUUGCUGGGAUUAUAGGCAUGAGCCACCGCGCCUGGCCUCUUCACUAACUUGUGAGGCACUGGACAUGGGUCACUCACCAGAUUCAAACCUUUUGAAUUUGAACCCUUGUUUAAAUCCUUCUCAAAUGGAUUUGUCCAUUUCCUUAAUUUAGUCAGUACAGCAAAUAUAAAUGGCUUUUCCUUUACUUACUGCAAAUGCUUACCUGAUACUCCAAGUUCACUAUUCUGAAUUGAAUUAGUUGUCAUGCCUCCAAACUGACCACGUGUUCACACAGACUAAACGUUCAGCUUCCAGCCUGAGUGCCCCUCCUCUUGGAGAGCCCAUCCUGCUGGCUGCUGGUGCAGUGCCCGGGUGGCAUGGAUCUGAUUUUGUUGUAACCAUUUGCUUGUGUCCCUUCAUCUCCUGCAGGACCAUAAGCUCGUGGAGAGCAGGGAUGUGUGUCUGCUGCAUGGCAGGCACUCUGUCAAUACAGCAAUGCAUUUUAUAUGGAAUCUGACUUUUUUCUCAGAUAUGGAAGAACGCAGCGACAGAUACGUUGUAAACCAAAAACUGGGAUAUAAUUCGUCACGCUGGGUUUGACACGAAUACAAGAAUCACUAUUAACUGCUUCUGCUACUCUCCUCAACCUCAGCAGCUAAGAGUUAUUAAACACCAUGUGCUGGAAAUGGGUUGUGUGUCACCUUGUUUAAUCCUUAUAAUCACCAUAGGAGGUAUCCAAUUAUAAUCUCUAUUUCUCUAUUUUACAGAUUAGGAAUCUGAAGAUUAGAGGCUUUUUUUUUUUCAGAGUCUUGCUCCAUCACCCAGGCUGUAGUGCAGUGGCACCAUCUUGGCUCACUGUAACCUCUGCCUCCCAGGUUCGAUUGAUUCUCCUGCCUCAGCCUCCCGAGUAGCUGAGAUUACAGUAUCACAGUCAAAUAGGUUGAAGGCUGUUUUCAGGUGGAGAAAAUGAGAAACAGAAUGAGAGAUCACCUGCUUCCAUGAAAUUAAUUCAGUCAGAGGUGAACUAACGUCAACAACAGCAAGAAUUCUUUUGCAUCUUUAAGUUCUCACUUUGUGGGACAACCUCUGAAACCAGAAAAAGGGUCAGGCUGUUAACUGACGUCAGUAGGCGAAGAGAAGGAGGUGAAGGAACAAACACUGAACACCUGUUAUUUAUGAAGCACUCUACAUAUGUUCCUUCAUUUCACUCCUGGUGAAAACCUGCAAGGUACAAACUGUUGUCUCUGUUCUCUAGCUAUGAAAAUUGGGACUCGGAAAAGUCCAGCAACUUCUCUCAGCCCAGGGAGUAGAGAGAGAGCUGAUUUGGGAUAUGAACUUUGGUAUUCUGUCUUUCUAUGACAUCAACCUAUAGAGAAAGGUGUUUCAUGCAAACCAAAAUAGACGUGAUAGGAUGAAAUUUGACUGUAUAAAGAAACAAUCAAAUUUUACAAGAAUGGCAAGUUAUGUUUAAGGCACCAGAAACCUAACACUGCAUGUCCUUGUAAACUCUGAAUGAAAUGGAUUUAAUCGACACUUUAAUCCCAUGCAAACAAACACUUUCAGAGAUAUUCAGGGUAGCCUUGCAGGGCUGGGCUUUGUGGUCUGUACUGUUACCACACACUGCUUUUGUAUUACUCUCCUCAUGCCUCCCCAAAUGGAAGGGAUUUUUGUUAAAGGCUCAUGAGCAUUCUUUCUCAUUUUCAAUCUUGAAAAACCAAAAGGGGUGAGGAACAUGUAGCAUGAUAUAAAUGCUCUGAGCAUGAGCUGCCUGACUCACAGACCUUAGGCUGGUAUAGAUUUUGGAUUACGGUUGGCCUUGGCCUAUGGGGGUUCACAAGAACUGGAAAACAUUACUUCAGGCAGUCUUCUACCCAUGACACUGAACUAGGAGCAGGCCUCUCAUGAAUAUAUUAUCGGCAAUUCCUGAUUCUUUAAAUAUGUAUAUUUCAAACCCAGUAAGCAGAGCAGAAUCAUCGAACUAAAGUGGCAUUUUCAAAUUCUUCUGAUUAUAAAUUAUUAAUGUACUCUAUCAGCGAUAACCUCAAGCAAUCUGUACCACCUUGAGGGCAUAUCAAUCUUAAAAAAACACUUGUUGUUUCUUUUAAUCAUUUUCCAAGUUUGUAAUAUAUGAGCUAUCUUUUAGGUUUAAUGACAAGUAUGGCUAUAACUGGAAUUCCAUAAGGAUGUCAUUACAAGACUAACUUU
Callithrix jacchus (white-tufted-ear marmoset) is the source of this 3728-nucleotide non-coding RNA. The record is from RefSeq and is a predicted model, not a curated record. NCBI's taxonomy places the organism in Eukaryota, Metazoa, Chordata, Mammalia, Primates, Cebidae.